This 1267-nucleotide long non-coding RNA is filed under the name Ficedula albicollis (Collared flycatcher). Its description in RNAcentral is "lncRNA (ENSFALG00000028175.1)". The record is from RNAcentral. Lineage: Eukaryota; Metazoa; Chordata; Aves; Passeriformes; Muscicapidae.
AUGCACAUCCCUCUCCCCCCAAGGCCUGGCUGUCUCAGAGCUGCCCAGAUUCCCCCCGUUCUGCAUUCCCAGGGAUGGAGGUUCAGAUUCAGCAUUCCCAGGUUUGGAGGGACACCAUUCCCAGGUUUGGAGGGACACCAUUCCCAGGGAUGGAGGGACACCAUUCCCAGGGAUGGAGGUUCAGAUUCAGCAUUCCCAGGUAUGGAGGGACACCAUUCCCAGGGAUGUAGGGACACCAUUCCCAGGGGUGGAGGGACACCAUUCCCUGGGCAGUGCCUGCUCCUGCGGGGCUCCCUGGAGCUCAGCCCCACCGUGCACAGCUUUGUGAGCAUCUCCUGGUGCAGAGCGCCCCCGUCCCCCGCCCGCUGCCCCUGCCGGCGCUGGAGCCCGCAGCGAACGCCCUGGAGGUCAGCCCUGCACACAAUGCCAGAGCCAGGGCUCCUCCCGCAGCCUCCGCUCCAGGACACGAUCACCGACCGGUGCAUUACUCAUGGCAGACCUUACGACCCUCAAAUCUCCGGGUUUUGGUAUUUUUUUAAACCCUGCUGUAGAAAGUGAAGUAUAUUUUCACAAGUGUUCUCCGUUUAUACAGCUUUAAGUGCCAGGUAGUGGGUAGCCUGUUGUUCCCAGAGGUCCAGGACAGGGCCACGCUCCCUCUGCUCCUCUUUCCCUUUUGGAUGUUGCACACUGCAUUCUGUUGAAUUUUUUUUUUAAUUUUAUUUUUUAAAUAUAUCCAAUAUUUAAACCACCAGAGGUUCUUUUGAAACCGUCUGGCAGAAGAUGCUGUACAUAGAUUUUGCUACAUGUUGUAACUUUCUGAAAUAGUUAGAACACCAAUCCCUUUGGUAUUUUUACGUGAAUAUUUUCAAAGAGCCAGAACUUCUGGUGAUAUGAUUUGAUAAUGGGACGAUGUAUAUUCACAGUUCAGUCUCUACCCAAUGCCUAUGUGCUAUCCCUAAAAUAAAGCUACUGCCUUCUGCCUCCUGCCUGCAGAGACCUGUGUUUUCUGUCCAGAAUUGCUGCUGGUGAUGAAGUGAGGAAUUCUACAUCUGGCACUUCUGCACUUGUUAAUAUUGACCCCGACACCUGCAGGGCCCCACCUGGCUGGGCUGGGGCUGGCCUGGAGAGGAACCUUCCUGCACCACAGCAUCCAGGCUGAAAGGAUCAAAAUGAGCAGCAAGUUCUUAAAAUAGUAUGGAUUUUUAACUCCAGCCUUCAGAAGAAAACAUUUCAUGAACUGUAUGAACCAGUGAAUUGUUUCCCUCUG